This 356-nucleotide ribosomal RNA is filed under the name uncultured bacterium. RNAcentral describes it as "bacterial SSU rRNA". It matches the Rfam family "Bacterial small subunit ribosomal RNA", at positions 1 to 334 of the family's 1533-position model. The record is from RNAcentral.
CUGUACAGUUCAGAGUUUGAUCCUGGCUCAGGAUGAACGCUGGCGGCGUGUUUAACACAUGCAAGUCGAGCGAGAAGUUUCUCAGUAGAUUCUUCGGAUGACACAGAGUUACGGAAAGCGGCGGACGGGUGAGUAACGCGUAGGCAACCUGCCCUCUGCAGAGGGAUAGCCUCGGGAAACCGGGAUUAAAACCUCAUAAUGCGCGACCGGGACAUCCCGGAUGCGCCAAAGAUUUAUCGGCAGAGGAUGGGCCUGCGUCUGAUUAGUUAGUUGGUGGGGUAACGGCCUACCAAGGCGACGAUCAGUAGCCGACCUGAGAGGGUGAUCGGCCACAUUGGAACUGAGACACGGUCCAA